CCAGGGCGACACACGUGCUACAAUGGCGCAUACAGCGGGGUCGCAAGCCGGUAACGGUAAGCCAACCUCUAAAAGUGCGUCUCAGUUCGGAUUGAGGUCUGCAACUCGACCUCAUGAAGCUGGAAUCGCUAGUAAUCGCGCAUCAGCCAUGGCGCGGUGAAUACGUUCCCAGGACCUUGUACACACCGCCCGUCAAGCCAUGGAAGUUCGGG
Molecule: ribosomal RNA, 212 nt
Filed under: uncultured Bacteroidota bacterium
Lineage: Bacteria; Pseudomonadati; Bacteroidota
Description: uncultured Bacteroidetes bacterium partial 16S ribosomal RNA
Rfam family: Bacterial small subunit ribosomal RNA
Source: RNAcentral